CCUACGGGAGGCAGCAGUCGAGAAUCAUUCACAAUGGGGGAAACCCUGAUGGUGCGACGCCGCGUGGGGGAAUGAAGGUCUUCGGAUUGUAAACCCCUGUCAUGUGGGAGCAAAUUAAAAAGAUAGUACCACAAGAGGAAGAGACGGCUAACUCUGUGCCAGCAGCCGCGGUAAUACAGAGGUCUCAAGCGUUGUUCGGAACCACUGGGCGUAAGGCGUGCGUAGGCAGUUUCGUAAGUCGUGUGUGAAAGGCGCGGGCUCAACCCGCGGACGGCACAUGAUACUGCGAGACUAGAGUAAUGGAGGGGGAACCGGAAUGCUCGGUGUAGCAGUGAAAUGCGUAGAUAUCGAGAGGAACACUCGUGGCGAAGGCGGGUUCCUGGACAUUAACUGACGCUGAGGCACGAAGGCCAGGGGAGCGAAAGGGAUUAGAUACCCGAGUAGUC
RNAcentral lists this ribosomal RNA (446 nucleotides) under uncultured bacterium. RNAcentral describes it as "partial 16S ribosomal RNA". It matches the Rfam family "Bacterial small subunit ribosomal RNA", at positions 338 to 795 of the family's 1533-position model. The record is from RNAcentral.